UACGUAGGGGGCUAGCGUUGUCCGGAUUUAUUGGGCGUAAAGAGCUCGUAGGUGGUUCGGUAAGUCGGAUGUGAAAUCUCCAGGCUCAACCUGGAGGGGUCAUUCGAUACUGCCGUGACUAGAGUUCGGUAGAGGAGUGUGGAAUUCCUGGUGGAGCGGUGAAAUGCGCAGAGAUCAGGAGGAACACCCGUAGCGAAGGCGGCACUCUGGGCCGAUACUGACACUGAGACGCGAAAGCGUGGGGAGCGAACAGG
This 254-nucleotide ribosomal RNA is filed under the name uncultured bacterium. RNAcentral describes it as "partial 16S ribosomal RNA". It matches the Rfam family "Bacterial small subunit ribosomal RNA", at positions 524 to 776 of the family's 1533-position model. The record is from RNAcentral.